CAGGGCCUGAGAUGCACGUGUAACUUAUAAUGUUCAACCGACAGACUAAAUUCGGGAUUUUCGAUAUCAUUAUGGAUGUCAAACUUCAUUUAAUUUACAGAAGGAGGCAGAAGUAAUGUGAGAAGAACCCACCUGCCUUAGAGAGCGGGUAUUGAACAUAUAAGGGGACGACAUUUUGGGUAUUAU
This 186-nucleotide non-coding RNA is filed under the name Hathewaya limosa. RNAcentral describes it as "6S / SsrS RNA". It matches the Rfam family "6S / SsrS RNA". From Rfam's summary of the family: E. coli 6S RNA was the first non coding RNA to be sequenced, but its function was unknown until recently. It consists of 184 nucleotides that fold into an extended hairpin structure with a large single-stranded internal bulge. The record is from RNAcentral. Lineage: Bacteria; Bacillati; Bacillota; Clostridia; Eubacteriales; Clostridiaceae.